AGAAUCAACGCUGGCGGCGUGCCUAACACAUGCAAGUCGAACGAGAAAGUGGAGCAAUCCAUGAGUAAAGUGGCGACCGGGUGAGUAACACGUGACUAACCUACCUUUCAGUGGGGAAUAACCUCGGGAAACCGGGACUAAUACCGCAUAAUGUCUUCGGACCAAAGGAGCAAUUCGCUGGAAGAGGGGGUCGCGGCCGAUUAGCUAGUUGGCGGGGUAACGGCCCACCAAGGCAAUGAUCGGUAG
This 246-nucleotide ribosomal RNA is filed under the name uncultured bacterium. RNAcentral describes it as "partial small subunit ribosomal RNA". It matches the Rfam family "Bacterial small subunit ribosomal RNA", at positions 26 to 286 of the family's 1533-position model. The record is from RNAcentral.